UUGCCUAUGAAAAAAGAUACUUGAUUCGAAAAUACCAUCUUUCGGGACUGAUUGGUCCUUGUAGCCAUGAUGUUAUUUUGCAAUUCAGAGGCAU
Molecule: small nucleolar RNA, 94 nt
Organism: Elaeis guineensis (African oil palm)
Lineage: Eukaryota; Viridiplantae; Streptophyta; Magnoliopsida; Arecales; Arecaceae
Product: small nucleolar RNA SNORD96 family
Source: RefSeq, a predicted model, not a curated record